Cinara cedri is the source of this 470-nucleotide non-coding RNA. NCBI's taxonomy places the organism in Eukaryota, Metazoa, Arthropoda, Insecta, Hemiptera, Aphididae. The record is from the annotation of a GenBank genome assembly.
GCAUUAUUAUUUUAAAUAUUAACGUUACAAUAAAUUUACUAGAGAUAGGUAGUACAGGUACACGAAAACGAUUUUGCAGUUCGGGAUUUCGAGUAUAUGGUGUGGGAAACGUGGGAAACGUGAUACAAUAUUUUACACGAUGAAAGAUCCCGUAUCAUAUUUUGGAUUUUACCGAUGAUAUAUUAUUGAAUUUGGAUUUCGCAAAACUCGCAAUUUUUAAUUUUUAGGGUUUUGCGAGUGAUGUAUCCAGCUGUCCUAAAUCUAUUAUCCGCGUCGAAAUCAAAUAACUAGACAAAAGUAUUACGGGUUUAUUUACAAAUUAGGUAGGUACUAUUAUGUAUAUAUAUAUAUAAAUUGACCUCCUACGUAUUAUUCGUACAGUGAUUCGGGUAGUUAUUGUUUUAAUUUAGCUAAUGUAUAUGUUCAUGUUUUUUUUUUUGAUACACUUACACUAUUGUUUAUACGGGUUU